Molecule: non-coding RNA, 193 nt
Organism: Oryza brachyantha (malo sina)
Lineage: Eukaryota; Viridiplantae; Streptophyta; Magnoliopsida; Poales; Poaceae
Source: Rfam
AAUAAUCUCAUUUUUCGUUUUUCUGUGUCUAACGUUUAACCAUUCGUCUUAUUCGAAAUUUUUUUACGAUUAAUUUUUUUAUUGUUACUAGAUGAUAAAAUAUGAAUAAUAUUUUAUACGUGACUAAUUUUUUUAAGUUUUUAUAUAAAUUUUUCAGAAAAGACGAAUAAUCAAACAUUAGACAUGGAAAAAC